RNAcentral lists this ribosomal RNA (362 nucleotides) under uncultured bacterium. RNAcentral describes it as "bacterial SSU rRNA". It matches the Rfam family "Bacterial small subunit ribosomal RNA", at positions 29 to 418 of the family's 1533-position model. The record is from RNAcentral.
AACGAACGCUGGCGGCAUGCCUAACACAUGCAAGUCGAACGAGACCUUCGGGUCUAGUGGCGCACGGGUGCGUAACGCGUGGGAAUCUGCCCUUGGGUUCGGAAUAACAGUCAGAAAUGACUGCUAAUACCGGAUAAUGUCUUCGGACCAAAGACUUAUCGCCCAGGGAUGAGCCCGCGUAGGAUUAGCUAGUUGGUGAGGUAAAGGCUCACCAAGGCGACGAUCCUUAGCUGGUCUGAGAGGAUGAUCAGCCACACUGGGACUGAGACACGGCCCAGACUCCUACGGGAGGCAGCAGUGGGGAAUAUUGGACAAUGGGCGAAAGCCUGACGCAGCGACGCCGCGUGGGUGAUGAAGGCCUU